UGUUGGAUUGUUCACCCACCAAU
Molecule: small nuclear RNA, 23 nt
Filed under: Arabidopsis thaliana (thale cress)
Lineage: Eukaryota; Viridiplantae; Streptophyta; Magnoliopsida; Brassicales; Brassicaceae
Description: snRNA_14851
Source: RNAcentral